This 468-nucleotide ribosomal RNA is filed under the name uncultured bacterium. Its description in RNAcentral is "partial 16S ribosomal RNA". It matches the Rfam family "Bacterial small subunit ribosomal RNA", at positions 28 to 507 of the family's 1533-position model. The record is from RNAcentral.
GACGAACGCUGGCGGCGGGCUUAACACAUGCAAGUCGAACGGAAAGGCCCUGCUUUUGUGGGGUGCUCGAGGGGCGAACGGGUGCGUAACACGUGAGUAACCUGCCCUUGACUUUGGGAUAACUUCAGGAAACUGGGGCUAAUACCGUAUAGGAGCUCCUGCUGCAUGGAGGGGGUUGGAAAGUUUCGGCUGGUGGGGAUGGAUGCGCGGCUGAUCGGCUUGUUGGUGGGGUAGUGGCUUACCAAGGCAUUGAAGGGUAGCCGGCCUGAGAGGGUGAACGGCCACAUGGGUACUGCGAUACGGAGCAGACUCCAACGGGAGGCAGCAGUGGGGAAUAUUGCACAGUGGUCGGAAGUCGGAUGCAGCAACGCCGGGUGCGGGAUGACGGCCUUCGGGUUGUAAACCGCUUUCGCCUGUGACGAAGCGUGAGUGACGGUAAUGGGUAAAGAAGCACCGGCUAACUACGUG